UACGUAGGGGGCCAGCGUUGUCCGAAGUUACUGGGCGUAAAGAGCGCGUAGGCGGGCCUUUAAGUGGGGGGUGAAAGGUUGGGGCUCAACCCCAACACUGCCUUUCAUACUGGGGGCCUUGAGUGCGGGAGAGGCGAGUGGAAUGGUCGGUGUAGCGGUGAAAUGCGUAGAUAUCAGGAGGAACACCGGUGGCGAAGGCGGGUCUCUGGGCCGAUACUGACGCUGAGGAGCGAAAGCGUGGGGAGCGAACAGG
Molecule: ribosomal RNA, 253 nt
Filed under: uncultured bacterium
Lineage: Bacteria
Description: partial 16S ribosomal RNA
Rfam family: Bacterial small subunit ribosomal RNA
Source: RNAcentral